Molecule: ribosomal RNA, 252 nt
Filed under: uncultured microorganism
Description: partial 16S ribosomal RNA
Rfam family: Bacterial small subunit ribosomal RNA
Source: RNAcentral
UACGUAGGUCCCGAGCGUUGUCCGGAUUUAUUGGGCGUAAAGCGAGCGCAGGUGGUUUAAUAAGUCUGAUGUAAAAGGCAGUGGCUCAACCAUUGUGUGCAUUGGAAACUGUUAGACUUGAGUGCAGUAGAGGAGAGUGGAAUUCCAUGUGUAGCGGUGAAAUGCGUAGAUAUAUGGAGGAACACCGGUGGCGAAAGCGGCUCUCUGGCCUGUAACUGACACUGAGGCUCGAAAGCGUGGGGAGCAAACAGG